GUGAUCUUCUGCGUGUUGCGGACAGAGUCGAUGCGGUUACGGAGGUCCCGGAGGGAGCACCGCACCACCAGGCUGCUGCUGCCGGUGGAGGCGCGGCGGCGGGUGGAGGUGCUGGCAAGCGCGGAGGAGGACCACGCGGUGGAGAGGUGGGAGCACGACAUGGCUAGCUAG
RNAcentral lists this ribosomal RNA (171 nucleotides) under Triticum aestivum (bread wheat). Its description in RNAcentral is "partial small subunit ribosomal RNA". Lineage: Eukaryota; Viridiplantae; Streptophyta; Magnoliopsida; Poales; Poaceae. The record is from RNAcentral.